Long non-coding RNA from Salvia miltiorrhiza (redroot sage), 347 nucleotides. RefSeq lists it as uncharacterized. The transcript has 4 exons. The record is from RefSeq and is a predicted model, not a curated record. Lineage: Eukaryota; Viridiplantae; Streptophyta; Magnoliopsida; Lamiales; Lamiaceae.
GUUCAACAUCAAAGAAAGAAUGCGAAGCUGAAUCAAAGCGUAAAGUUAAGACACCCUCGAGUAAGAAGAAAAAGGAUGACAAGGAAAGUGAGGAAGGCAACGAAGUCCCGACAAAGGGUGCAUCCACAAGACUUCAGAAAAGCCUAGCAGAGAAGAAAUGCAUUCUGUAGUGGCAGAUAUGCUGAAGGAAGUUGAUUUUAAUACAGCAACAUUAUCCGACAUUCUACGGCAGCUAGCUGAGCACUUUGGAGUAGGGUUGUAAUCUAAUCGAAUACUGUCGAAUAUCUCAAUAUUCGAUUCGUAUUCGUGAUAUUAUUCGUAUAUUCGAUUUGAUUUCGAAUUCUAAA